GGUUUCACCAUCUUGGCCACACUGGUCUUGAACUCCCGAUCCUUGUGAUCCACCUGCCUUGGCCUACCAGAGUGCUGGGAUUACAGGCACGAGCCACUGUGCCUGGCUGGUCUCUGACACGUCUAAGCUAUGAAGAAUUAGGUAUAUUUCUGGCCAUCUCUGACCCCCAUCUAUGAAAGACUCGUAGGGUGGUUGAAAUUGCACCACAUGUACAAUAUCUGGCCCAAUGUAGGAAAUGUAUAAAUGUUAGCUUCAUCCCCCAGGGAAGCCCACUGAGAUCCAUAUGAGUCCUUUGUCUGUGUCUCCCCAUAAUGUGACCUUUAGAAGUUGCCAAUGGCCCACCCAAUACCCAACCGUGAUUUUUCUGAGAUAAUCUGCCCAAGGUGUGUGAGAGGAAAGGCGAAGAAGGCAGUCAGGAGGAUUCACUCCUGGGGGAGCUGGGUAGGAUCCUAUCUCCUCCUACAUCCAGAGCAUGCAGGCUCCACUUAGAUGCAAAGGGGUCGGAUUGGGUUACUGGGGAGAAAUUGAGCCCCUUUGAUUCUGCGGUUCUGUGGGUCUAAAUCUGGCAGCUCCUUGGCUAUCCACCCCCAGGCUUUGUGAUUGGUUGGCUGUGGUUGGUGGGGGGGCAGGAAGCUUCUGGUGGAGCUGCAGCAUCCUUCAGUCUCAGGCCCCCAGGAGGGGGAGGGGAAAGAACAAGGGCUGAGCCGUGGAGGGAAAAGGAGCCAUUUCUCUCCACCGACUGCAACCUCCGUGCUCACAGCUCACGUUUCACCAGAAUCCAGGGGCCUGGUCGGCCUAGGAAUCCACAAUGCUGGAUAUUUUCAUCCUGAUGUUCUUUGCUAUCAUAGGCCUGGUCAUUCUGUCCUACAUUAUCUAUCUGCUUUAGUGGCCUGGAGCUGCGGCUGGAGCCUGCUGGAGAACAGCUCAGAGGGAAGGAUGGAGCUGAAUGGCCGAGUGCCCUGCUUGCUGACGCACCGGUGGAUUUUUGCUGCUGGCUGUUAUCUCGGCUCCUGGUCUCUCCAGUCCAACAAGAGGCCUCUUAUCCACAGCAGCAGUCCCGCUGCCCAGCAGACCUCUUUCCGAGCUUUCCAGACAUGGCUGACCCCUGGCAAGCAAGGGGCUUUUUGAGCUGAGAGGCACUUGGCUGGGACAUCAGGAAUUCAUGGACAUGGCUGGCAGAUACUGCAUGUGUUUGAGCUGUAGAUAGAGGGGAUUGAGAACAGAAAGUUGAAAUGGAGACUUAUUAAAGUUACUGUGGAGAACUGCUCAAAAAUUCAUUUUGAAUUAAGGAAACUUAAAUUCAUUUUAAGUUUCCUUAGAUCUGAAUGCAACUGCACAUUACACUCAAAUAUGUUCCUUCCUUCUCACACACAGGGCUCCCUUGUGAAACUCAAGGGGAAGUUCAAGUUGUCCAUCUUCACCUAUGAAGUAGUCACUUUAUCACUGUCUUUACAGAUUGCACAAUCUGGGGUUUUGUGGUUUCUCUUGUCUCACUCUCCAGCCAGGAAGAACUUGUCAUUUGAGUUUUUAAAAUUUAUCAUUUCUUCCCUACCUCAAA
Molecule: long non-coding RNA, 1558 nt
Organism: Rhinopithecus roxellana (golden snub-nosed monkey)
Lineage: Eukaryota; Metazoa; Chordata; Mammalia; Primates; Cercopithecidae
Exons: 2
Source: RefSeq, a predicted model, not a curated record